AUAAAUUUUUUAUGAUUUAUAAAAUUUAUUAUAGAUUUAUUUUGCAUAUAAAUUUUAGUGUUAAUUUUUAUUUAUUUUAAUAAUAAUUAAUUAAAUAUUAUAGUAAUUAAUAUUAAAAAUUUAAGAAAUUAAGAUUUAGUAAUAUUUAAAUUAGUAACAAAUUUUGUGCCAGCAGUUGCGGUUAAACAAAAGUUAAAUUAAAUUUUAUUAGUAAUUAAUAAAUAAUAAAUUGAAAUUUAAUUAAAUAUUAAAUUAUUAAGUGAAAUUUUAAUUUAAUUAAAAUUAAUUUAUAAAUUAUUAUUUAAUAAAUUUUAAAUAUAAACUAGGAUUAGAUACCCUAUUAUUAAAAAUUUAAAUUAAUAAUACUAAAAUAGUAUGUAAUUAUUUAUUGAAACUUAAAUAAUUUGGCGGUAUUUUAGUUCAUUUAGAGGAAUCUGUUUAUUAAUUGAUAAUCCACGAAUAAAUUUACUUAAUUUAAUAUUUUGUAUAUCGUUGUUAUAAAAAUAUUUUUAAAUAAAAAUAAUAUUUAAAAAUUAAAAAAAAAAAUUAAAUCAGAUCAAGAUGCAGAUAAUAAUUAAGAAUAUAAUGGAUUACAAUAAAUUUAUUUAUAACUAAUUUUAAUUUGUAAUAAUUAUUUGAGGGUGGAUUUAAAUGUAAUUUUAUUUAAUUUGUUAAAAUGAUUAAAAAUUAAAAUAUGUACAUAUUGCCCGUCGCUUUCAUAAAUAAAUUGGAAUAAGUCGUAACAAAGUAGAGGUACUGGAAAGUGUUUCUAGAAAUAA
Molecule: non-coding RNA, 779 nt
Filed under: Glyphodes quadrimaculalis
Lineage: Eukaryota; Metazoa; Arthropoda; Insecta; Lepidoptera; Crambidae
Source: RNAcentral